Molecule: ribosomal RNA, 496 nt
Filed under: uncultured bacterium
Lineage: Bacteria
Description: partial 16S ribosomal RNA
Rfam family: Bacterial small subunit ribosomal RNA
Source: RNAcentral
GAUGAACGCUGGCGGCGUGCCUAAUACAUGCAAGUCGAGCGAACAGACGAGGAGCUUGCUCCUCUGACGUUAGCGGCGGACGGGUGAGUAACACGUGGAUAACCUACCUAUAAGACUGGGAUAACUUCGGGAAACCGGAGCUAAUACCGGAUAAUAUAUUGAACCGCAUGGUUCAAUAGUGAAAGACGGUUUUGCUGUCACUUAUAGAUGGAUCCGCGCCGCAUUAGCUAGUUGGUAAGGUAACGGCUUACCAAGGCAACGAUGCGUAGCCGACCUGAGAGGGGGAUCGGCCACACGGGAACUGAGACACGGUCCAGACUCCUACGGGAGGCAGCAGUAGGGAAUCUUCCGCAAUGGGCGAAAGCCUGACGGAGCAACGCCGCGUGAGUGAUGAAGGUCUUCGGAUCGUAAAACUCUGUUAUUAGGGAAGAACAAAUGUGUAAGUAACUAUGCACGUCUUGACGGUACCUAAUCAGAAAGCCACGGCUAACUACGU